CCGUACCUACGGGGCGCAGCAGUGGGGGAUAUUGCACAAUGGGGGGAACCCUGAUGCAGCGACGCCGCGUGGGUGAAGAAGCGCCUCGGCGCGUAAAGCCCUGUCAGCAGGGAAGAAAAUGACGGUACCUGAAGAAGAAGCCCCGGCUAACUACGUGCCAGCAGCCGCGGUAAUACGUAGGGGGCAAGCGUUAUCCGGAUUUACUGGGUGUAAAGGGCGCGUAGGCGGGAUGGCAAGUCAGAUGUGAAAUCCGGGUGCUCAACCCCUGAACUGCAUUUGAAACUGUCGUUCUUGAGUACUGGAGG
RNAcentral lists this ribosomal RNA (305 nucleotides) under uncultured bacterium. Its description in RNAcentral is "bacterial SSU rRNA". It matches the Rfam family "Bacterial small subunit ribosomal RNA", at positions 331 to 655 of the family's 1533-position model. The record is from RNAcentral.